This 441-nucleotide ribosomal RNA is filed under the name Bacillus cereus. Its description in RNAcentral is "bacterial SSU rRNA". It matches the Rfam family "Bacterial small subunit ribosomal RNA", at positions 551 to 991 of the family's 1533-position model. The record is from RNAcentral. Lineage: Bacteria; Bacillati; Bacillota; Bacilli; Caryophanales; Bacillaceae.
UUAUUGGGCGUAAGCGCGCGCAGGUGGUUUCUUAAGUCUGAUGUGAAAGCCCACGGCUCAACCGUGGAGGGUCAUUGGAAACUGGGAGACUUGAGUGCACAAGAGGAAAGUGGAAUUCCAUGUGUAGCGGUGAAAUGCGUAGAGAUAUGGAGGAACACCAGUGGCGAAGGCGACUUUCUGGUCUGUAACUGACACUGAGGCGCGAAAGCGUGGGGAGCAAACAGGAUUAGAUACCCUGGUAGUCCACGCCGUAAACGAUGAGUGCUAAGUGUUAGAGGGUUUCCGCCCUUUAGUGCUGAAGUUAACGCAUUAAGCACUCCGCCUGGGGAGUACGGCCGCAAGGCUGAAACUCAAAGGAAUUGACGGGUGCCCGCACAAGCGGUGGAGCAUGUGGUUUAAUUCAAAGCAACUUUAUGAACCUUACCAGGUCUUGACAUCCUC